UACGUAGGGGGCAAGCGUUGUCCGGAAUUAUUGGGCGUAAAGAGCGCGUAGGCGGUCCGAUAAGUCGGCUGUGAAAGUCAGGGGCUCAACCCUUGAAAGCCGGCCCGAUACUGUCGGACUAGAGUCCGGAAGAGGCAAGUGGAAUUCCCGGUGUAGCGGUGAAAUGCGCAGAUAUCGGGAGGAACACCAAUGGCGAAGGCAGCUGCUGGGCGGUACU
RNAcentral lists this ribosomal RNA (217 nucleotides) under uncultured bacterium. Its description in RNAcentral is "partial 16S ribosomal RNA". It matches the Rfam family "Bacterial small subunit ribosomal RNA", at positions 524 to 741 of the family's 1533-position model. The record is from RNAcentral.